GCCGAGGGGCGGUGCCGGCUCCGCCUCCGCCUCCCGCCUUCGCCCGGCGGGCGGGGGAAGCCCCGGCCCCGACCCCUCCUCCUGCCGGGCCGGGAGAACCGGCUCUUGGCCGGGAGGGGGGGGGCUGGCUCCAGCACUGGGGUCAGGGGGCUCCAAUUUGUCCGCAGAAGCCCCAGCUGGGCUGGCAGGGGCUGCAGGUCUGGGAGCGCCUCAGGCAGAACAAUACUGAUGACGGGAUCCAGUUCCUCUCCCCACACUGCUCUGCAGUGGGCAAGCAGGAGCCCUCAAGUCACUGCGGGCCAGGACUCAGGAUUGGGAUGAGGCAUCAGCAGGUCUCUGUGUUUGUGUGGAGUCCGGGACUGGCUCAUCCCUUCAUCUGUGUCAUCAGAAAGAUCCUGGGCAAAACUUUCCUGCAGCCGGGAAGCACCAAGGGGUGAAUUUUUCUCCCGGGAUGUGCAGGCAGGAAGCGGCAGAAAGGCCUCUGAGCGUUCCAGCUGGGCAACAAGCGCCACUCGCCGGCACUCUGCCCGCCAGUGACCAAACCACAGGACACCUCGCUCUUGGCCUGCUGCUGUUCCCUCUCUGCCCUGGUUGUCUGCAAACCUCUCUCAGGCGGAAGUCCAGGUUCCAAGGCAGAGCCGUAACUAGUGGCUUUUUUCUCUCUCUCCACCUCUUUCUGCGCCCCCCGGCUUUGUGUGCCUGAGGCAAGUGCCUCACUCGCCUCGCCCUUGUGACGGCGCUGUUCCAAGGGGAGCAAGACAUCCAGAUCCACCUCGUGGCCGUGGCCCCGCAGGCGUCCAGCUGCAGAGGAGCCCCUCGCUGGACCGGCCCCGUGCUGCUGGAGAUUAGAGAGCGGGGCCUUCGAGGCCUUUUCGAGAGUUCUCGCCCAACUGC
Molecule: long non-coding RNA, 894 nt
Organism: Mauremys reevesii (Reeves's turtle)
Lineage: Eukaryota; Metazoa; Chordata; Testudines; Geoemydidae
Exons: 4
Source: RefSeq, a predicted model, not a curated record